RNAcentral lists this ribosomal RNA (404 nucleotides) under uncultured bacterium. Its description in RNAcentral is "bacterial SSU rRNA". It matches the Rfam family "Bacterial small subunit ribosomal RNA", at positions 355 to 776 of the family's 1533-position model. The record is from RNAcentral.
UGGGGGAUAUUGCACAAUGGGGGGAACCCUGAUGCAGCGACGCCGCGUGGGUGAAGGAGUACUUCGGUACGUAAAGCCCUAUCAGCAGGGAAGAAAAAGACGGUACCUGACUAAGAAGCCCCGGCUAACUACGUGCCAGCAGCCGCGGUAAUACGUAGGGGGCAAGCGUUAUCCGGAUUCACUGGGUGUAAAGGGAGCGUAGACGGCAGGGCAAGUCUGGAGUGAAAGCCCGGGGCCCAACCCCGGGACUGCUCUGGAAACUGUACUGCUAGAGUGCGGGAGGGGCAGGCGGAAUUCCUAGUGUAGCGGUGAAAUGCGUAGAUAUUAGGAGGAACACCGGCGGCGAAGGCGGCCUGCUGGACCGUAACUGACGUUGAGGCUCGAAAGCGUGGGGAGCAAACAGG